Non-coding RNA from Arachis ipaensis, 1299 nucleotides. The record is from RefSeq and is a predicted model, not a curated record. NCBI's taxonomy places the organism in Eukaryota, Viridiplantae, Streptophyta, Magnoliopsida, Fabales, Fabaceae.
UUAAAUCAAGAGGUAUGGAAGUAACAAAAGUUUAGAAAAGUCAAAGGCAAAAUUCAAUUUGAAUUCAAAGUGGUUACAAGUUCAUGGUUCAUCACCAAGAUUCUACAAACUUCUUGUGCUAUCUAUCAACUUGCAUGGAUUAGAAUUUUCAUGAAGCAUGGUUAAAGAAUUGAAGAAGCAAAAUUUGAGUUGAAUAUAAUAAUCAUCAAUUGGCUAGAUAUUGCUAGAAGCUAAUAUUGGAAGCUUGAAGAUUUUCUAAGAACAUUCAAGAAAAUAGCACAACUACAACAUUCUACAACAUUGAAGAAAUUCAAAAUCAAAUUGAAUUGAAAUUAGAAGAUUAUAGAAACAACACGAAUGCAAGUUGAAAGAAGAUUCAUGAAGCCAACUCAUAAAAUAGUGGUCAUUACAAAAUUGAUUUGUGAUUCAUAAAUUAUUAUUUUAGUAGGAAGCAUUGCCUAUGUAAAGGCACAUAUGUCUUGUGUAUUUUGUGUGUUCCAUAAUGAAAUGAGUAUGUUUUGAAAUUCUCUCCUUUGCUUUAUGAGUGUUAGUGAGUUUGAGAUAUAAAAAUAUGAUAGUGUCUUUUAUAUGAGUGAGUGAUUUUAGGACCAAUUAAGUUGUGGAUAUUAUAUUAUUUCUGACUUUUGGAGACUAAUAAUCACUAAUAGCUUAAUUAAUAAAUAGGAAAUUCAGUAGUAAUCGACAAUUCUUGGUCCAUUGAAGCAGUCUUAACAAAUAUAUUGCGUUGAACAUUUCAAAUUUAUGCGGACUAAGACUUUAGCUUGUGAUAAAAACAGAUAGCAUUUUAAAUGAAGAAUAACUGAAUUUGUUAUUAACAAAAAUAUAUAUAAAGAAUGCAUCAUGCCUUAAUCUCUAGGCAGCAAAUAACAUAAUUCUUCGACAGCAAGAAACUAUAAUCUCCUUGCAUUUCACUUCACUGAUCGAGGUCUGAGGGAUAUGGAUGUGAAGAAGCUGUUGCGAAUUCUUGUAUGUCUUUGCUUUCAAAUUUUUCUCUUCAUCCAAGCCACUCAAGCCGUACCCCUUGGACGCUUUCAUGAUAUCCCAAAGAGUCCACCUCCAGCACCAAAAGGUGGCCCUAACCAUCAUCCAUGACAAUAAUAAUCACUCAGAGCCUCACUAUAUAUAGCUUUCUGUAAUAUUGGAGCAGAGAAUUAGUACUUUGCUUUGUUUAUGCUAUUUUAGGAUGUACGUGUAUUGAUAUCAAAAUGUUAUUCGUAUAUUAAAAUUAGUCAUUACUGUAUUUAUGUAUAAAUAUAUAGAUGAUUUAAUUCAUUUUCA